UUUUAGGAUUUUAAAGGGGUGCAGAUCCUGGAAUGCCUGAACCAACAGUUUUAAGCCUACUUUGGGGAUAAAGGACUAUUUGGUCAUCUGGACUUGGAAGCAAUCCUGAACAGAAACACUAUGGAAGGUGUGUGCUCUGGAUGGGAUAAGACAUGGGACAUCGUUCAGGUGACCAGUCUUCAUUUGGAUGGCACAGGGCUCUUCUCAGAUGCAUCUGUGAUGGAGUAGAACCUCUUCUGACUUAUUUAUCAUACAUAGACUAUCAAAAUAAAUAUUUUCAACAAUGUUA
Molecule: long non-coding RNA, 289 nt
Organism: Dipodomys spectabilis (banner-tailed kangaroo rat)
Lineage: Eukaryota; Metazoa; Chordata; Mammalia; Rodentia; Heteromyidae
Exons: 2
Source: RefSeq, a predicted model, not a curated record